Molecule: long non-coding RNA, 658 nt
Filed under: Homo sapiens (human)
Lineage: Eukaryota; Metazoa; Chordata; Mammalia; Primates; Hominidae
Description: non-protein coding lnc-SS18-3:1
Source: RNAcentral
GUUUGGUUUUCACACGCCAAAGAUGUACCGAAGUAUAGAGGGCUGCUGUAUUUGCAGAGCUAAGUCCUCUAGUUCUCGAUUCACUGACAGUAAACGCUAUGAAAAGGACUUCCACAGCUGUUCUGGAUUGCAUGAGACUCCUUCAGGAGACAUCUGCAAUGCCUGUGUCCUGCUUGUGAAAAGAUGGAAGAAGUUGCCAGCAGGAUCAAAAAAAAAACUGGAAUCAUGUGGUAGAUGCAAGGGCUGGACCCAGUCUAAAGACUACAUUGAAACCAAAGAAAGUGACUCUAUCUGGGAACAAGAUAAAGAGCAACCAUAUCAGUAAACUGCAGAAGGAAUUUAAACAUCGUAAUUCUGAUGCUCACAGUACCACCUCCAGUGCCUCCCAGCUCAAUCUCCUUGUUACAGUAACCAGUCAGAUGACGGCUCAGAUACAGAGAUGGCUUCUGGUUCUAACAGAACACCAGUUGUUUCCUUUUUAGAUCUCACAUACUAGAAAAGACAGAAGACAUGUUGUGGGAUCAUCUAUAAAGGCCGUUUUGGGGAAGUUCUCAUUGACACACAUCUCUUCAAGCCUUGCUGCAGCAAUAAGAAAGCAGCUGCCGAGAAGCCAGAGGAGCAGGGGCCACAGCCUCUGCCCAUCUCCACUCAGGAGUGG